RNAcentral lists this long non-coding RNA (446 nucleotides) under Homo sapiens (human). RNAcentral's name for it is "non-protein coding lnc-BORA-7:1". Lineage: Eukaryota; Metazoa; Chordata; Mammalia; Primates; Hominidae. The record is from RNAcentral.
AUGACAAACACAAAGGGAAAGAAGAGAGGCACCUGAUAUACGUUCUCCAGGCCUUUUAGAAAACAUGGAGUUGUCCCUUUGGCCACGUAUAUGCGAAAUCUACAAGAAAGGUGAUAUUGUAGACAUCAAGGGAAUGGUUACUCUUCAGGUGUUACCAUGGCGAAACUGGAAGAGUCUACAACGUUAUCCAGCAGGCUGCUGGCAGUGUUGUCAACAAGUUAAGGGCAAGAUUCUUGCCAAGAGAACUAAGAACACAUUAAGUACUCUAAGAGUUGAGACAGCUUCUUGAAACAUGUGAAGGAAAAUUAUCAGAAAAAGAAGCCAAAGAGAAAGGUACCUGGGUGCAACUGAAGUGCCAGCCUGCUCCACCCAGAGAAGCACACUUUGUGAGAACCAAUGGGAAGGAGUCUGAGCUGCUGGAGCCUAUUCCCUAUAAGUUCAUGGCA